RNAcentral lists this ribosomal RNA (1356 nucleotides) under uncultured bacterium. RNAcentral describes it as "16S ribosomal RNA". It matches the Rfam family "Bacterial small subunit ribosomal RNA". The record is from RNAcentral.
AGAGUUUGAUCCUGGCUCAGGAUGAACGCUGGCGGCGUGCCUAACACAUGCAAGUCGAGCGAUUCUCUUCGGAGAAGAGCGGCGGACGGGUGAGUAACGCGUGGGUAACCUACCCUGUACACACGGAUAACAUACCGAAAGGUAUGCUAAUACGAGAUAAUAUGCUUUUAUCGCAUGGUAGAAGUAUCAAAGCUCCGGCGGUACAGGAUGGACCCGCGUCUGAUUAGCUAGUUGGUGAGGUAACGGCUCACCAAGGCGACGAUCAGUAGCCGACCUGAGAGGGUGAUCGGCCACAUUGGAACUGAGACACGGUCCAAACUCCUACGGGAGGCAGCAGUGGGGAAUAUUGCACAAUGGGCGAAAGCCUGACCCAGCGACGCCGCGUGAGGGAAGAAGGUCUUCGGAUUGUAAACCUUUGUCAACAGGGACGAAACAAAUGACGGUACCUGUGGAGGAAGCCACGGCUAACUACGUGCCAGCAGCCGCGGUAAUACGUAGGUGGCGAGCGUUAUCCGGAUUUACUGGGUGUAAAGGGUGAGUAGGCGGGAAGGCAAGUCAGAUGUGAAAUGCAAUGGCUCAACCAUUGAAUUGCAUUUGAAACUGCUUUUCUUGAGAGUCGGAGAGGUAAUCGGAAUUCCUAGUGUAGCGGUGAAAUGCGUAGAGAUUAGGAGGAACACCAGUGGCGAAGGCGGCCUACUGGGCUUUUACUGACGCUGAGGCUCGAAAGCAUGGGUAGCAAACAGGAUUAGAUACCCUGGUAGUCCAUGCUGUAAACGAUGAUUACUAGGUGUGGGCUGGAAACAGUCCGUGCCGCAGUUAACACAAUAAGUAAUCCACCUGGGGAGUACGGCCGCAAGGCUGAAACUCAAAGGAAUUGACGGGGGCCCGCACAAGCAGUGGAGUAUGUGGUUUAAUUCGAAGCAACGCGAAGAACCUUACCAGGUCUUGACAUCGGAUGCAUACCUAAGAGAUUAGGGAAGUCCUACGGGACAUCCAGACAGGUGGUGCAUGGUUGUCGUCAGCUCGUGUCGUGAGAUGUUGGGUUAAGUCCCGCAACGAGCGCAACCCUUAUUGCUAGUUACUACGAAAGAGGACUCUAGCGAGACUGCCGUUGACAAAACGGAGGAAGGUGGGGAUGACGUCAAAUCAUCAUGCCCUUUAUGACCUGGGCUACACACGUACUACAAUGGCUGCCAACAAAGUGAACCGAACCUGUGAGGGGGAGGAAAACACAAAAAGCAGUCUCAGUUCGGAUUGUAGGCUGCAACUCGCCUACAUGAAGCCGGAAUUGCUAGUAAUCGCGGAUCAGCAUGCCGCGGUGAAUACGUUCCCGGGCCUUGCACACACCGCCCGUCA